This 894-nucleotide long non-coding RNA is filed under the name Homo sapiens (human). RNAcentral describes it as "HSALNT0079081". Lineage: Eukaryota; Metazoa; Chordata; Mammalia; Primates; Hominidae. The record is from RNAcentral.
CCCUCAGCCCCCUCAUCCUCACCUCUCUAAAUCCAGAUCAGAUCCGGGCUGAAUGGAAUGUCCACCCCUGCAGGGAUGCCUUUCCCAGCCUGCAUGGAUUCUGACACUGGACACCCUGCUGUGGACCAUCUUCAACCUGCUUAGGCUCUGGACCACUGCAGUCCAUCUCCGACACACACAUACCUCGGAUGCUUGCCUUGCUCUGCCCCACUUCACGAUUUAGGACCGAAUUUUUCAGGAAGGAAAGAGAAGAGCUCUGAAAGACUUUUAACAGAAAAUAAAGGGCUUCUAGGAUGUCUACAGACUUGUAGUUUGUCAUUUUCUAAUCUUAAUGUUUAUAACUAAUAUUUUAGUAUGAAUUAUUAAUUUAUCUGAGGUGAAUAAAAUUCACUGAGUUCAUUGGUAUCUCAUAAGAUGUAAAACUAGUUCUUCUGAUAUUCUGGAGAAAUGUUUAUUUUAUCUGAUAUCUGUCUUCUAUGAGCAGAUGGAGUGAGCCAUUCAUAUUUUUUUUUCAUUUUGAAGAAGACCGAGGUCUGGAAAAGCUUCAAAAAUUGCGGGUCUAUAGCAAUUGAUUAAUAAUUAAUAGUAAGCCAUGUGACAUUCUAGCAUGUCACUUAGUAAUCACCAUAGUUUUAAGGAAAGCUUACUGCUUAGUGAAUGUCUUUUUCUGUUUUUCACUUCUCUAAAAUCUUUUAAUGCACCUUAUUGGGUUUUGGUGUAAAUUAUGAAUAAGAAAGACAUUUUUCUCAGUUUUUAUGAGGUUAAAAAAUUGAUUUAUAAAAUGUUAACUUUAAGAAUUCAUUCUUUUCAUUUGGUUCACUGUGUCAAGUUUGUUUGGAAAUGCGACCUGUGUGUGCCUGUGUGUCAUCACUUUGCAUGCAAGUUUUCUCCGGC